GAUGAACGCUGGCGGCGUGCCUAAUACAUGCAAGUCGAGCGAACAGACGAGGAGCUUGCUCCUCUGACGUUAGCGGCGGACGGGUGAGUAACACGUGGAUAACCUACCUAUAAGACUGGGAUAACUUCGGGAAACCGGAGCUAAUACCGGAUAAUAUAUUGAACCGCAUGGUUCAAUAGUGAAAGACGGUUUUGCUGUCACUUAUAGAUGGAUCCGCGCCGCAUUAGCUAGUUGGUAAGGUAACGGCUUACCAAGGCAACGAUGCGUAGCCGACCUGAGAGGGUGAUAGGCCACACUGGAACUGAGACACGGUCAAGACUCCUACGGGAGGCAGCAGUAGGGAAUCUGCCGCAAUGGGCGAAAGCCUGACGGAGCAACGCCGCGUGAGUGAUGAAGGUCUUCGGAUCGUAAAACUCUGUUAUUAGGGAAGAACAAAUGUGUAAGUAACUAUGCACGUCUUGACGGUACCUAAUCAGAAAGCCACGGCUAACUACGUG
RNAcentral lists this ribosomal RNA (497 nucleotides) under uncultured bacterium. RNAcentral describes it as "partial 16S ribosomal RNA". It matches the Rfam family "Bacterial small subunit ribosomal RNA", at positions 28 to 507 of the family's 1533-position model. The record is from RNAcentral.